Molecule: ribosomal RNA, 810 nt
Filed under: uncultured bacterium
Lineage: Bacteria
Description: bacterial SSU rRNA
Rfam family: Bacterial small subunit ribosomal RNA
Source: RNAcentral
AGAGUUUGAUCCUGGCUCAGGAUGAACGCUAGCUACAGGCUUAACACAUGCAAGUCGAGGGGCAGCGGGAUUGAAGCUUGCUUCAAUUGCCGGCGACCGGCGCACGGGUGAGUAACGCGUAUCCAACCUUCCGUACACUCAAGGAUAGCCUUUCGAAAGAAAGAUUAAUACCUGAUGGUAUGAUGAGAUUGCAUGAUAGCAUCAUUAAAGAUUUAUCGGUGUACGAUGGGGAUGCGUUCCAUUAGGUAGUAGGCGGGGUAACGGCCCACCUAGCCAACGAUGGAUAGGGGUUCUGAGAGGAAGGUCCCCCACAUUGGAACUGAGACACGGUCCAAACUCCUACGGGAGGCAGCAGUGAGGAAUAUUGGUCAAUGGACGAGAGUCUGAACCAGCCAAGUAGCGUGAAGGAUGAAGGUCCUACGGAUUGUAAACUUCUUUUAUAAGGGAAUAAACCCUCCCACGUGUGGGAGCUUGUAUGUACCUUAUGAAUAAGCAUCGGCUAACUCCGUGCCAGCAGCCGCGGUAAUACGGAGGAUGCGAGCGUUAUCCGGAUUUAUUGGGUUUAAAGGGAGCGCAGACGGGUCGUUAAGUCAGCUGUGAAAGUUUGGGGCUCAACCUUAAAAUUGCAGUUGAUACUGGCGUCCUUGAGUGCGGUUGAGGUGUGCGGAAUUCGUGGUGUAGCGGUGAAAUGCUUAGAUAUCACGAAGAACUCCGAUUGCGAAGGCAGCACACUAAUCCGUAACUGACGUUCAUGCUCGAAAGUGUGGGUAUCAAACAGGAUUAGAUACCCUGGUAGUCCACACGGUAAAC